CAGCAGGCAAGAAAAGCGCGGUCUCCUCGCAGAAAGCGCCCUCUGCGUUGAGCAGUGCUGCCCCUGGUGAUGGUCAGAGAGACGGACAGCAGCGACUUCCUGACUGCGCAGCGAAAGACAUGGCAGCCUGGGAAUCUUCUGGACAGAGGAUGUUUUCGUGUUACUCUCCUGUGACGGGCAAGCCUAGUGCUUCAGGCUUUCGAGAGAUCUCCCCUGAGAAGGGGCGCCUGGAGUAUUAUAACUGCCGUGCGAAGGAGAGCACUGGAUACUAC
Non-coding RNA from Meleagris gallopavo (turkey), 272 nucleotides. The record is from RefSeq and is a predicted model, not a curated record. Lineage: Eukaryota; Metazoa; Chordata; Aves; Galliformes; Phasianidae.